ACAGCAACAACAGUUCCUACCAGCACUGAGCCACCUAGCCAUGGUGAACCCUGCCGCCUACUUGCAACAACAACUGCUUGCAUCCAACGCACUUGCUCUGGCAAACGUAGUUGCAAACCAGCAACAACAAUAGCUGCAACUAUUUCUGCCAGCGCUCAGUCAACUAGCCAUGGUGAACCCUGCCGCCUACCUACAACAGCAACAACUGCUUUCAUCUAGCCCGCUUGCUGUGGCCAAUGCACCUACAUACCUACAACAACAAUUGUUGCAACAUAUUGUACCAGCUCUGACUCAGCUAGUUGUGGCAAACCCUGCUGCCUACUUGCAACAGCUGCUUCCAUUCAACCAACUGACUGUGUCGAACUCUGCUGCGUACCUACAACAGCGACAACAGUUACUUAAUCCACUUGCAGUGGCUAACCCAUUGGUCGCUGCCUUCCUACAUGUCACACCCGGUUUUAAAAAGGCAAACCGAAUGCGAACCAUGUACGUGCCAGGAUCAGUUAUUCACGUACACAGCAGUUACAUAAUAUGGACAUCAUCACACAGUGCUCAAAAUAGUAUUAAUAAGGGAAAUAGUAGAUUACAUCAUACGUCUGAGACGUCCAUAUAGUUCUUACAAUAAAUCAAAGUGCGGAAAAGAAACGUAGAUAACGCGGCCUUCACAGGCAGCCGACUGGGGGUUGCCGCUAACCCACACCUAGAACUCGUCGUAAUCUUGGAACUCCUGGAAGUCUCCUUCCACAGCUUCAUCUUCGCCUGAGCAGUGGUUGCAAUGCUGACAACCUGGGGGGGGGGGGGUUUGGUGUGUAGAGCAAGGGUGAGUACACAUCAACAUACUCAGCAAGUAUCCUGUUUGGCUGUAGUGGACUAGCUUUAUGUGGGGAUAAGUCAAGCAGUUGCUUUUAGUUGGUCAGGUUAUUACUUACUAGUAGAAAGCCAAGUUUUAGCAUUAACCCAAGUUAUUAACCCAAUGUAUCCUUUCCAAACGGAAAGAAUACCACUUACCAGCACCAUAACCAUAACCAGAACCAUCAAUCUCAUAACCACCUGUACCACAAUGUCUCUGAUCAAGUACCACUAAUCAUUGGAGCUCCCUUGGCCGCUCAUAACCGCGAGCACGGCUGAUAUAUCAGUUUCAUAACACUCUGCAGAGGUUGUGCACUUUACCCACAAGCCGUGAUUCCCAUUCUGCCCGGAGAUCAUGACUCUCCAUUGAUCACUACCAAGGUGAUCCAGCAGGGCAUCACUACGAAGCCUUUACAAAGAUUCCCCGGGACUGCAGCCACCCGUUAGGUUUCCUAAAUGCACCGCACUCCUCCCCAAGGGGCGAACCCAAACUUGGCAGAGCGAGCCGCAUACACCGAGCCCCAUUGACGGCACGACGGCUAAGUGAACUACACCCCGGAUCCUCUAAUUAUUCAGCUAAGGGCACCCCAUUCCACCCUCAUGGUUGCACUGUUUUCCCGGGCGGUCAUCCAUAGAACAGGUCCUUACGGAGAGGCACUCGAGAAACCGCUCGAGUCCCCUUGAAAACCACAAGUAUAAUCAUAAAGAAGAACGGGAAAACAGCGUAUCAUAGAUAAUCACAUCAUGUUCAUUGAUUAGAGUUGAGCAAUAGCAUCAGACUAAGUAGUAAUAAUCCGACCCAAAUAGGUAAACAAGGACAUGGAUAACAAAAGCUAGUCAAUCCUUAGGUAUAAAUGUGUAAUGCGGGAGGUGAAUUAAAGAAUGAAUAGGACAUAGAUAGGUCAAAGGACACUUGCCUCCACCAAACGACUGCUGCUCAGGGGCUUCUCCUGCGAAUUCCUCGGGCUCUUCGACUGGAUCGUUCUCUAUGCGAGCGCAAACAUACAUACAUACAUCCACAUAUUUAAUACAAAAGAACAGUACACCAUACAAGAUAACAAAUAAAGCGAAUAUGCAUCAAGUAUGACAUUCGAUAACGCAUUUGUUAUGGUCAGAAAGAAACGGGAAAGGUCUCGCAGGGGGGGUUAAAUCUUAUGCACUAACGAUCAAUUACAAUUGGUUUUUAACAAAAUAAUUCUGCUACAUAUACACUAAUGGAAACCUAAUCACUUUUAGUUGAUCAACAUUGCACAGGGUAAACAAUUAACUACGUGCGUCAAUAGCAUAACGGAAUUUUAAAUUAAACUUCCUAUUUUCCCAUAGCAUGAACAGUGAUUAGCCUACUUAAAAUACAGUAAUUAUGAUCACAGAAAGUAAAUAAAAUAAAAUAAAAAAAAAUAAAAAAAAAAACAGAGGGGGGGGCGGUUGAACCGGCCCUAGGGCGGUUGAACCGGCCCUAGGCGGGGCGCGGGCGCGGGCGGCGCAGGGGGCGGCCGAACCGGGGGGCGGGGGGCGGCGCAGGGGGCGGCCGAGCCGGGGGGCGGGGCGGCCGAACCGGCGGGGCAGGGGGGCGGGUAGGGGGCGGCCGAGCCGGGGGGCGGGGCGGCCGAACCGGCGGGCAGGGAGGCGGCCGAACCGGCCAUGGGGAGAGGGGAUGGGGGAGGGAGGAGAGGGGGAGGGGGAAGCUCACCGGCGACGGGGACGGGGCGGCCGAGCGGGGCGGCCGAACGGCGACGGGGAGGGGCGGCGGCCUAGGCAGGGGCGGCGGCUAGGGCAGGGGGCGGGUAGGGGGCGGCGGCUUGGGUGGGGAGGGAGAAAAUGAGGGGGGAGAGGGAGAGGGUUAGGGGAUAAGGGAAAGAGGGGGGGGGCGGCUGGGCCUACUAGGCCCAAGAGGGGGGCGCCAGGGGGCGGCUGGGCCGGCCGGGGUCGGCCCACGGCGCGGGAGAGAGAGAAAAAAAAGGAGAGAGAAAGAGAGAGAGAAAAGAGAAAGAAAAGAGAAAGAAAACAUUUUCGAAAUCCGAUCUUUCUACAUGAAUGCAUUUGCACUUUCAAAGCAAUCAAAAGAAAUGCAAGGUUCGGCAUGGUGCAUCAAACAACAUAAAGUAUUUAGGGUUUUUAUACAUACGGGAAUUCCAAACCGAAUCCCGCUAGAACUUUGGAAAAGGUCAAGGUUUAGCGAGGGAAAAAGAAAAAGAAAAGGUAACGCCCGAAUUUUGGCGAGUAAAGAAAAGAAAAAAAAUUCAACUGCAAAAAUUCGGGGCGUUACAAACCUAUCCCCCUUAAAAGAAUCUCGCCCUCGAGAUUCAGGGCUGGCUAGCAAAGAGCUCCGGGUACUUGGCCUUCAGAUCAUCUUCACGCUCCCAGGUUGCUUCUUCCUCAGAGUGGUGACUCCAUCUGACUUUGCACAUUCUGACGGUCUUCCUUCGGGUGACUCUGUCUGCAAUCUCAAGGAUCUGAGCUGGCUUCUCAACGUAGGUCAAGUCCUCCUGGACUUCCAGACCUUCCACUGGCAACUGCUCUUCCGGCACACGCAAGCACUUCUUCAACUGAGACACAUGAAAGACAUCAUGCACAGCAGACAAAUUCUCUGGCAGACUGAGCUGAUAGGCCACUUCUCCACGUCUUGCAAGAAUCUGAUACGGACCAAUGUAGCGGGGUGCUAGCUUGCCUUUCACUCCGAAUCUUCUGACUCCUCUGAUCGGUGACACUUUCAGAUAGACAAAGUCUCCGACUUCGAAACUCAGCUCUCUUCUUCUUGUGUCUGCAUAGCUUCGCUGCCUUGAUUGCGCUAUCUUCAGAUUCUCUCGGACCAUCUUGACGUUCUCUUCGGCUUCGAGCAAAAUGUCUGGCCCAAACACUUGCUUUUCCCCAGGCUGAUCCCAUUGCAACGGAGUUCUGCAACUCCUUCCAUACAGCGCUUGAAAUGGUGACAUCUUCAAACUGGCCUGGUAACUGUUGUUAUAGGAAAACUCCGCAUAAGGCAAUCGCUUGUCCCAUCCGGACUGAUCUUGCAACGCACAUGCUCUCAACAUAUCUUCAAGAAUUUGAUUGGUUCUUUCGGUCUGGCCAUCUGUCUGCGGGUGGUAAGCUGAACUGAAAUUCAGAUGCGUGCCCAAGGCUUCAUGCAACUGCUGCCAGAAAUGAGAGGUGAACUGCGUUCCUCUGUCUGACACUAUCUUCUUUGGCACACCAUGAAGACAAACGAUCCGAGACAUAUACAAUUCUGCCAAUACUGCACUGUUGUAGUUGGUCUUGACAGGUAUGAAGUGGGCUGACUUGGUCAAGCGGUCCACUACUACCCAAAUGGAAUCGUAGCCGGCUCGAGUGCGAGGCAAUCCGACUAUGAAAUCCAUACCAAUUUCAUCCCAUUUCCACUGAGGGAUCUGCAACGGUUGCAACAAUCCAGCUGGUCUCUGGUGUUCUGCCUUAAUUCUUCGACAACUAUCGCACAUAGCCACAUGCUCUGCGAUUUCCCUUUUCAUUCCGUACCACCAGAAUUUCUUCUUCAGAUCCUGAUACAUCUUCUCACUGCCAGGGUGAAUCGAAUAGGCUGUCUCAUGAGCUUCCUUGAGAAUCAACUCCCGAAUAGACUGGACAUUGGGAACACACAAGCGGUCUUUGAACCAUACCACACCUUCUGCAUCUUCUCGAAAGUCUUUGCCUCUGCCAUCUAGAAUCAAUCGCCGAAUCUCACUGAUCUUCUCAUCAUUUUUCUGCGCUUCUUUGAUUUCGCGCUCCAAGGUAGGUUCCAAUUCAACUGUGACUCCUCGAGAAUUGUUUAGAAAUCCGAGACUCAACCUGUCAAACUCCUUGGCCAACUCAUAAGGCAUCGGACGAGCGACCAUCAGAUUGACUUGACUCUUUCUGCUCAAAGCAUCUGCCACUACGUUUGCUUUGCCUGGAUGGUAAUGAAUCUCCAACUCAUAGUCUUUGAUCAAUUCUAACCAUCUUCGUUGCCUCAUGUUCAAUUCUGAUUGAGUGAAUAUGUACUUCAGACUCUUGUGGUCUGUGUAAACAUCGCAUUUCUGUCCAUACAGAUAGUGCCUCCAUGUCUUCAGUGCGUGAACCACUGCUGCCAACUCUAGAUCAUGGAUGGGGUAGUUCUUCUCAUGAACCUUCAGCUGUCGGGACGAGUAAGCCACAACUCUUCCCUCUUGCAUCAACACACAUCCCAAACCUGUGUAACAAGCAUCACAAUACACCGAGAAGGGCUUGUGCACAUCAGGCAAGACUAGGACAGGCGCUGUUGUCAACUUCUCUUUCAGCGCUUCAAAGGCCUCUUGGCAUUUCUGGGUCCACUUGAACUCAACCUUGUUGCCUAGCAACGCUGUCAUUGGCUUCGCAAUCUUCGAAAACCCUUUAAUGAAUCGCCGAUAAUAUCCGGCCAUUCCAAUGAAGCUCUUGAUUCCUCUAGCAUCUGUUGGUGCUUUCCAGUUCAGAAUGUCUGCCACUUUCUUCGGAUCCACAGUCAAUCCUUCUUUGUUGAUUAUGUGACCCAAGAACAGGACUUCACUGAUCCAGAACUCACACUUGCUCAACUUUGCAUACAACUGGUGCUCUCGCAAUCUCUGCAACACCAUCCUCAAAUGAUCUGCAUGCUCUUCUUCACUUUGAGAAUAAACCAGAAUGUCAUCAAUGAAUACCACCACGAACUUAUCAAGAUAAUCCAUGAAUACACUGUUCAUCAAGUUCAUAAAGAAUGCUGGCGCAUUGGUCAAACCAAAAGACAUCACUGUGAACUCAUAUAAACCAUACUUGGUAAUGAAUGCCGUCUUCGGAAUGUCCGAAGGUCGGAUCCUGAGCUGAUGAUAACCUGACCUCAGAUCGAUCUUGGAGAACACACUGGCUCCUCUCAACUGGUCGAACAGAUCUUCUAUUCUGGGCAAAGGAUACUUGUUCUUGAUCGUGACCUCAUUCAAAGCUCGAUAGUCGAUACACAUCCUCUUGGUACCAUCUUUCUUCUCCACAAACAAGACAGGGGCGGCCCAAGGCGAGGUGCUUGGCCGGAUGUAACCUUUUUCUGACAGCUCAUCAAUCUGCUUCUUAAGCUCAUCCAACUCUGGUCCAGAUAUUCUGUAAGCUCUCUUGAAGAUAGGGGCGGUUCCAGGAAGAAGCUCUAUGGCAAAUUCAACUUUCCGCUCUGGUGGCAUACCCGGUAAAUCCUUUGGAAACACAUCUGGGAAUUCGGACACAACCUUGAUACUCUCAAUCGGGUCUGCUUCACUGCUAUCGACAGUCAUCUGAUAACAACUUCCUUUCUUUGGCUCAGGCGGGACUAACUCAGUCACCACUUCCUCUCCUAGUGGGGACACUAACUUGAUUGUCCUUUUAUCACAACUGAUAACUGCCUGAUACUUAUCUAGCCAAUUCAUCCCUAGGAUGACAUCUAUUCCCUGAGUACCCAUUACUAUAAGGUUGGCGGGAAACGCUAUCCCCCUUAUUUUCACACUUAUAUUCAAACAAAUGCUAUCGGCUCGAAUUCUACCACCGGCUGAAUCAAUUUGAAUGGGGGUUGACAUGGUAGUUAUUGGAAGUUUAUGUGCUUCUACCCAUGAUGCAGUAAUGAAAGAAUGUGUUGCUCCAGUAUCAAAUAACACUUCUGCAAUAUGGGAGUCGACUGGGAACAUACCUACUGUCAUGCCGGGGGUCUCCUGAACUGCUUCAGCUUCCAAGUGGUUCAAUCUUCCAUGAUUAUAGCGCUGCUGAGAGCGAUUGCCUGCUCCAGGCUGAGACACAUUCUGCUUUGCUGGGGCAUUGGGGCCUGACUGCUGCUGGGCUGCCUUCUUUGGACAUUGCAUCACCCAAUGGCCUUGCUCUCCACAGUGGAAACAUGCCCUGUUUCCAACCUGAGCUGGUGCUGCCUGACUGUUCUGCUGAUUUGCUGGGGCAGGAAGACGAGGUGCUUGCUGAUUCUGCCUUUGAAACUGACCUCCUGACUGAUUGCUCUGACGGUUCUGGUACUGAUUCUGAGGGUACUGCCUUUGGAACUGCUGAUACUGCUGACGCUGCUGAUGCUGCUGAGGUGGACGCUGGUUCUGCCUGAACUGCUGAGGUUGAUUGCCUGAAAAGCGAGGGCGACUGCUGCUUCCAGACUGCGGUCCACUGAUCUUGCGCUUACGAUCUUCCAUCUCCUUGCGCUUCCUUUCUGUCAUGAUUGCUCUGUCAAUCAGGUGCUGGAAUGUCGGGAAGGUGUGAUUCAUCAGCUGAUACUGCAGAGGGUCAACCAAGCCUCUCAGGAAACGGUACUGUCGCUUGGCGUCGGUGUUGACAUCUUCAGGAGCAUAGCGAGACAAUUGCAGAAACUUGUCCCGGUACUCACUGACAGACAAUGGCCCUUGCUUAAGGGCCAGGAACUCCUCCUUCUUCACUGUCAUCAGACCUGCAGGCACAUGGUACUGACGAAAGCUACCCCUGAAUUCUUCCCAGGUGAUGGUGUCGGGGUUGGCAUGGGUGGCGAGGUAAGACUCCCACCAUGACUGGGCUGCUCCUCUCAACAGACGGGGACCAUACAGAACUUUCUCCCUGUCAUCGCACUGAGCGGUAUGCAACUCCCGCUCCACAGUGCGCAGCCAAUCUUCAGCAUCCAUGGGGUCAGAAGAGUGAGCGAACGUUGGUGGAUGACCUCUCAUGAAUUCAGCACGCUUAUCUCUAGGCAUCUGAGGCAUCUGAGGCUGGGGUGGUGCUUGCUGCUGUUGCUGCUGCUGCUGCUGCUGAAUGGCGGCCAAAGUCUGACCGAUGGCUUGAACUGCCUGAGUCUGCAUCAGAAACAUCUGCUCAAUCGACAUCGGGGGCGGGGGCGGCAGGUGCUGCUGCUGGGGCACCUCAUCCUGCGGAGCGGCUCGCUCCUGCUGAGCACGCCUUCCUCCUCUACGCCUGUUCUCUGACAUCUGCAGAACGCAACCACACAUCAGAACUGAUCUGGCAAAUCUUGCAGCAUAAGGAAAGAGAAUAGAAUUCUUCAACAGCACUGGGCAGGUGAGCAUCUUCACUGAUCUCCAACACAGACCACACAUCUUCUCAGAUAAAGAGGAAAGGAGAAUAAUGGGUUUCCCAACUAUAUAACUAACUUUAUUGACAUAGUAUGUAAACCAAAAUGCAGGGGAUACCCACACUCUGGUGACAAUCAUUACAAAGAUCCAAACCAAACAUAGUUCAUCAUGACAAGCAUAAAUGCACAGGAUAUAGCAAACUACCCUGUCUAACUAAAACUAACUAAGACCGAGACUAACGCUAAGACUGAAGCUUCUAUGUAUAUAUUUAUUUCGUAUUAAUUACAAGAUCCAGCUCUAACGAUCUAUGGUUCUAGAGUUAUCUUGGUCUUGCAGGCGGGAUUGCCAUAAGACUGGUGUCCACGCUGAGGUGAGCGGUACGGGUGCUGAGUCCCAACGGGAGCGGGGGAACCACCAUCCAGAAAACGACGUUCCGCGCGCUCAGCCCGCAGCAGGGCGAUCUCAGCACGAGCCCUACUCAGCUCGUCUAAUGCAUGGUCCAGCUCCGUGUUUAGCACGGCGGCUAGGUUGACUGUGCUGCUCAACCUAGGAUUGCCCUCACCGACAGGUGAGACAAUCACGCCUCCUGUGCUGCCAGAUGAACGGCGGGGGUAAUACUUCAGGUCAAGACCGUCAGCUGCCCCACCGAAAACCGAGCAGUAGUGCGAAAGCGCACGCCGUGCAGCAUCUUGCAUGGCUGCCUCAGCUGAGUCCCGCUCAGAGAUAGAAUAGUACUCUGAACAGGCCUCUGCACCCUGGAGACUGUCCUCCGGGCAGCGCACCAAGCAAGUCGCCUCCCAGCGGUCCGGGUAGACCCCGCGACUAUGCUGGUAGACCACACAGCGAUACUCGACGGACCAAGUAUGCCGGUCAAAUGCCCGACGUAGCAGGGUGUCGAGCGCAUCAUGGAAGUGACACCCGCGAGCAGCGUCGCGAGUGAUGGGUCGAGCAACCCAUCCUUCCGGCUCAGGAUUAGCAGAGAAGUCGGUGUCGUGGCUCGAGCUGUCGUCGCCAUCUCCGUCGUCUGGGUCUCCUCCAGCAGCUACUCCAGAAGCUGGGGCGCCCAGUGGUGGUGCAGGGGGCGGCUCCAGAGAAAGCACAGGGGAGCAGCUCCUCACAGACUCUAUCUCCUGGUGGAGCGAGAGGGAAGAGCUCCGCUGCUCCUGUCGUCGACGCUCCUGCUCCUCACGCAGGCGGUGGUGUAGUCUCUCCAAGUGGCUGGACUGUCCGGCCACGGGACGGCGAAGCGGACGCUCAGCAAGGCGGGAGGGUAAGAAGGGGAUGACUGACUUUCGUGCAGUGUGUCUAAGUCGAGCCAUCUACAAAAGACAUCGCAAGCAAAAGGGUGAGAACAGAAUUAAUAUGACCAGCAAGUAAUAAGUAAAUGAAGGAUCAGAAUAAAACAUAAUUUUCAGCAAGGUAUAAUAUGUAGUAGAACAUAGGUUUGGUCAGUAGGACCAACUUUUGAAGGGAUAUCAAAGUCAAGGAAGAGACAGAGGUCUAUAGUCCUUAGAACGACCAUUCUACUCUAGGUUAGCGGUCCUACAGUCAGCACGGCUCUGAUACCACUUAUGUCACACCCGGUUUUAAAAAGGCAAACCGAAUGCGAACCAUGUACGUGCCAGGAUCAGUUAUUCACGUACACAGCAGUUACAUAAUAUGGACAUCAUCACACAGUGCUCAAAAUAGUAUUAAUAAGGGAAAUAGUAGAUUACAUCAUACGUCUGAGACGUCCAUAUAGUUCUUACAAUAAAUCAAAGUGCGGAAAAGAAACGUAGAUAACGCGGCCUUCACAGGCAGCCGACUGGGGGUUGCCGCUAACCCACACCUAGAACUCGUCGUAAUCUUGGAACUCCUGGAAGUCUCCUUCCACAGCUUCAUCUUCGCCUGAGCAGUGGUUGCAAUGCUGACAACCUGGGGGGGGGGUUUGGUGUGUAGAGCAAGGGUGAGUACACAUCAACAUACUCAGCAAGUAUCCUGUUUGGCUGUAGUGGACUAGCUUUAUGUGGGGAUAAGUCAAGCAGUUGCUUUUAGUUGGUCAGGUUAUUACUUACUAGUAGAAAGCCAAGUUUUAGCAUUAACCCAAGUUAUUAACCCAAUGUAUCCUUUCCAAACGGAAAGAAUACCACUUACCAGCACCAUAACCAUAACCAGAACCAUCAAUCUCAUAACCACCUGUACCACAAUGUCUCUGAUCAAGUACCACUAAUCAUUGGAGCUCCCUUGGCCGCUCAUAACCGCGAGCACGGCUGAUAUAUCAGUUUCAUAACACUCUGCAGAGGUUGUGCACUUUACCCACAAGCCGUGAUUCCCAUUCUGCCCGGAGAUCAUGACUCUCCAUUGAUCACUACCAAGGUGAUCCAGCAGGGCAUCACUACGAAGCCUUUACAAAGAUUCCCCGGGACUGCAGCCACCCGUUAGGUUUCCUAAAUGCACCGCACUCCUCCCCAAGGGGCGAACCCAAACUUGGCAGAGCGAGCCGCAUACACCGAGCCCCAUUGACGGCACGACGGCUAAGUGAACUACACCCCGGAUCCUCUAAUUAUUCAGCUAAGGGCACCCCAUUCCACCCUCAUGGUUGCACUGUUUUCCCGGGCGGUCAUCCAUAGAACAGGUCCUUACGGAGAGGCACUCGAGAAACCGCUCGAGUCCCCUUGAAAACCACAAGUAUAAUCAUAAAGAAGAACGGGAAAACAGCGUAUCAUAGAUAAUCACAUCAUGUUCAUUGAUUAGAGUUGAGCAAUAGCAUCAGACUAAGUAGUAAUAAUCCGACCCAAAUAGGUAAACAAGGACAUGGAUAACAAAAGCUAGUCAAUCCUUAGGUAUAAAUGUGUAAUGCGGGAGGUGAAUUAAAGAAUGAAUAGGACAUAGAUAGGUCAAAGGACACUUGCCUCCACCAAACGACUGCUGCUCAGGGGCUUCUCCUGCGAAUUCCUCGGGCUCUUCGACUGGAUCGUUCUCUAUGCGAGCGCAAACAUACAUACAUACAUCCACAUAUUUAAUACAAAAGAACAGUACACCAUACAAGAUAACAAAUAAAGCGAAUAUGCAUCAAGUAUGACAUUCGAUAACGCAUUUGUUAUGGUCAGAAAGAAACGGGAAAGGUCUCGCAGGGGGGGUUAAAUCUUAUGCACUAACGAUCAAUUACAAUUGGUUUUUAACAAAAUAAUUCUGCUACAUAUACACUAAUGGAAACCUAAUCACUUUUAGUUGAUCAACAUUGCACAGGGUAAACAAUUAACUACGUGCGUCAAUAGCAUAACAGAAUUUUAAAUUAAACUUCCUAUUUUCCCAUAGCAUGAACAGUGAUUAGCCUACUUAAAAUACAGUAAUUAUGAUCACAGAAAGUAAAUAAAAUAAAAUAAAAAAAAAUAAAAAAAAAACAGAGGGGGGGGCGGUUGAACCGGCCCUAGGGCGGUUGAACCGGCCCUAGGCGGGGCGCGGGCGCGGGCGGCGCAGGGGGCGGCCGAACCGGGGGCGGGGGCGGCGCAGGGGGCGGCCGAGCCGGGGGGCGGGGCGGCCGAACCGGCGGGGCAGGGGGGCGGGUAGGGGGCGGCCGAGCCGGGGGGCGGGGCGGCCGAACCGGCGGGCAGGGAGGCGGCCGAACCGGCCAUGGGGAGAGGGGAUGGGGGAGGGAGGAGAGGGGGAGGGGGAAGCUCACCGGCGACGGGGACGGGGCGGCCGAGCGGGGCGGCCGAACGGCGACGGGGAGGGGCGGCGGCCUAGGCAGGGGCGGCGGCUAGGGCAGGGGGCGGGUAGGGGGCGGCGGCUUGGGUGGGGAGGGAGAAAAUGAGGGGGGAGAGGGAGAGGGUUAGGGGAUAAGGGAAAGAGGGGGGGGGCGGCUGGGCCUACUAGGCCCAAGAGGGGGGCGCCAGGGGGCGGCUGGGCCGGCCGGGGUCGGCCCACGGCGCGGGAGAGAGAGAAAAAAAAGGAGAGAGAAAGAGAGAGAGAAAAGAGAAAGAAAAGAGAAAGAAAACAUUUUCGAAAUCCGAUCUUUCUACAUGAAUGCAUUUGCACUUUCAAAGCAAUCAAAAGAAAUGCAAGGUUCGGCAUGGUGCAUCAAACAACAUAAAGUAUUUAGGGUUUUUAUACAUACGGGAAUUCCAAACCGAAUCCCGCUAGAACUUUGGAAAAGGUCAAGGUUUAGCGAGGGAAAAAGAAAAAGAAAAGGUAACGCCCGAAUUUUGGCGAGUAAAGAAAAGAAAAAAAAUUCAACUGCAAAAAUUCGGGGCGUUACACUACAGCAGCAACAAUUGUUGCCAUACAACCAGUUCUCUUUGAUGAACCCUGUCUUGUCGAGGCAGCAACCCAUCGUUGGAGGUGCCAUCUUUUAGAUAACAUAUGAGAUGUACUCGAUAAUGGUGCCCUCAUACCGGCAUGUGUUUCCUAGAAAUAACCAAUAUAUUGAUUGAGAUUUAUCUCGAUAUAUUUCUGAACUAUGUCCAUCAUAUAAAUAAUUGAAAACAUCAAAUCGUAAUUAUAAACUCAUGCUUGGCCAAUACAUAGACAAUGCGAUAUUACUUCAACAUCCCAAUGAUGUCCUAGCCCAACCUCUUGAAUGUUAGUGUUUUAAUGUGUGAGGGUAUAUUUAUAAGAUAGACGUGACUAUUUGCGCUUUUUCAGUACAUACACAUAUGGUAUGUUGAUUUGAUAUAGUGAUGGACACAUGCUUUGACCAUGAAUAUUCAAAUCAGUUGUACUUGCACGAAGCAAAACAUAAUAUAAGUUUAGGAGUACACUUAUAACUGUAUCCAAUCAUGCUCACACAAAUUCAUACCACAUUAUAAUUUUUUGGUAAAUAUUCCACACAUGUACUUUUUACAAGAACCCAAAUUUUGCAAACAAAUGUAGCAUUGUAGACAUGUAGAAUUCUUUGAAGCACGUGAACUUAACAACAUCAAGGUCAUUAAAUCAACUAGACCCUAUGAGUAACAAUUUCGAUAUUGCAAACACCAAAUUAUAGAACUUAUUGGCUGAAAAAUUAUGAGCAAUGUGAACUUUAAAUUAUUAUACCAUAAAUAUAUCAAAGAAUUUUUUUAGGAACGUAAAAAUUGCAUGGAAUGGGCUGCCCAACGUGCUAGCUCACUUCUAUGCUAGGCAGCAUUACCAAAGAUGGGAAUGUUGCUGAUGAACGCCAAACCCACUCAAAUAAUAUUUAUAUUUGGGUUGUUUAGUUGUAAAAGUGAAGACCCAAGAUAAAAGUACCAAUUGUCCAAUGACAUUCGAUUAUUUUGUUCGGGGAGCACUUGGUGCGUCAUUUGUACUCGUAUCUUAGUCCAAUAGAUUGUAUUUUCCUUCAAUGUGUAGAAUCCGACAAAGUGCAUGUUCUAAAAUUGUAAAUCUAACUAAAUUAGAAAGCUUGUUACUAAUUUGAUGGUUUAUUAGGUGUAGCUCAUAAAACUAGAACCAACAUAGCCUGCACUCACAUGUCAUAGAAAAUAGGAGUAUCCAAGCACAAUUUGUGUGAGCAUCCAUGACACAAAUUAUAUAUAGAGUGAUAUAAUUAAUUCCUUCAAAAUAAAAAAAGGAAAAAAUAAAGUGUUUUUUGAUACUGCAGGAUAUCUCUUUUAGCUAAUGAGGAGUACUAAAAAGUUGUUGCACUUUUGGGUGGCGAGAAUUCCUCAAUCAUAACUUUGACAUAAUUUUAAUCCAGAUCACAUAUAUAGCAUCAUAUCUUAAUUAUUAAAUUAAUAUGGUUCCAUCAUCGUAUUAUUAAUUCAAUCUGAUAUAACCAUCAAAUCUUAAUUAUUAAAUUAAUCUGGAGCAUACAUUAGAUUAUCAAACCAAAUCAACCCGACAUAACCAUCGAAUGUUUCGCUAUGCGCCUUAAGCGCAUGGUCUCAGGCUUAAUCAUCCGGAAUAACCAUUCGAUCUUCUGGUAAGCAUAGUAAGCGUAUGGUUCAUGGCUUCGUCAUCCGGAAUAACCAUCAUAUUUUCCGGUAUGCACUGAAAGCAAAUGAUCCGGGGUUUUGGUAGGUGAAACGUUGUUAGGUGAAUGCGGAUCCUGGCUGCUGUUGCACGUGUGAACUGCUGUGUGGAAGCUGCUGGGUCCUCCUCUAUUUUGCGUGGUUUGUGGCAGGCUUGGAAUUCUCUCAUGGCUUCGGUGCUUGGAACUGCUCGUACGUCCGGUCCUGCGUGCAUCUCUCUCUCUCUCCUGGCUGGAGGUGUGGUGGUCUGGCGGCUUGUCUGUGUUUUUCUUUUUACGACGGCUUCUCGUGUUGGCUAGGGUUGGCGUCAGGGGCCCGGUCAGCUAUGCUCCCUCUGCUUUUAUAGGCAGUGCACCACAGCAGGCAGAGCAGAGAUAAAGAUUCCAACUGCAUCCAUCUACAAACAAGGCUCUCGGUGGAAGGGAUAAAAGCAUGCAUCGCAAUUGCCGCUGCCCUGCUUUAGCCUUGAGUCUCGUCAAUUGGAUGACCAAAAGAUGUCACCGUCUAAGCUCUUUUCUUUGUGCAGCUGCCUGUUUGUCACCAACACAAAAUUGUAGGUGCAUGUUUGACACCAAUUAUCCUCUACCACAAAGAACUACAAUAGUGAUGGAGGAUCUGAUCCGGCACUGAUCCACUAUAAUGCAUAGUGGGUGAUGCAUGUCUAAUGGUGGUUGUUUAGUGUUAGUUUGGGCAUGUUGGAACUAAGCAAUUGUCGAUGCCAUACACUAGAUGUGAAGAAUGUUGUUAGCGUUAGGAGUAGAGGUGUCAAUGGGGACCGAUACCCGUUAAGCCAUGGAGAAUUUCUCUAUUAGAUUUAGGGUAUGGGAAAUUUUUUAUUUCCAUUUGCUGAAGUUAGGUAUACAUCUAUUUGAAUCAAUAGUUACAGUUCAACAGAAACUCCUUCCGCUCUAGUUUGUUUCAUGUCCUACCUUUUUCCUAAACUAGUGUUUCCUAAAUUGACAUACUCUCUAGAAAAUCUAUCCAAAUUUUGAAGAUCAAAUAUGUUCCAUUGAAUUAUUCAUGACAUAUAUCUUGGUAUUGCUUUUUGUCAUCAGAAUAUAUUUUGAACUCAGUAAAAGUUAUACACGAUUUUUUUAGACAAUACUAAAGCAAGUUGUAUCAAGAACACUGGAGGUGUGCGCCAAUUGCCACAUUUAGAUAUAAUCAUUCUAAUUUUGGUCAUCCUAUGUGUGUGCAUUCAUCUAUGCAUUCUAGGAUUUCAAUUAGUCUCAAUCUUGUAGUAUUUGUUCCUUCAUUGUCAAAUCACUUCUCAUCUAACUACUAUGCUUGUUUAACCAUCAGAACAUAACUACAACAAUAUCCAUUUAUAAAGGUUUUGAUAGCAAACUUUACAUAUUCAUAUCAUGUUAAGGUUGUCACAUGUGUAAAGGUGAAGAGAUCAUGCAUGUCAUUCCACGUAGAUGAAAAGAAUUCCUAUAUAAAAUGACACCUUUUCUUGUAGGUAGUGGAAAGUAUCUUUCCAGCAAAGACCAUAUAAUCCGAUAAAGUUGAUAACUAAAUGUCAAAAUAGAGUAGAUGCCAUAUCAUAUAUACCUUAUCUGUUGUUUGGAAAAAAAAGACUAAAUCCCAAAAAUAUAUAUGAGAUCUCACUUGUAUAAAUAGCUCCCAAAUUAGUAGUUAACCAUCACCCAUAAUAUUUUGAACAUUCAGAAACACACCUAGCGAAGCGCACUAGCAACGACCUAACAACAAUGGCUACCAAGAUAUUAUCCCUCCUUGCGCUUCUUGCCCUUUUUGUGAGCGCAACAAAUGCGUUCAUUAUUCCACAAUAUUAGUUAUACUCUUAAUGUCACGAUGUAUAUGUUUGAUUAAAUUGUUUAAUAGAUAUAAUCAAAGAUAAAUAACUUGCAUGGCUCCGUAGGAUAUUAUGUGUAUCUUGUUCAUGAUCACUAAUGGUCCUCAUAGGCACCAUUUGAUUUGCUGCUCCCAUUGUCUCAAUUUCCAUUGUAUUGUCAUCGUUGACCCCCGACGCUCGAAAUUCUGCAGGUGGUGUUACAAUAUGUCUCCGUGGACUCGUAGCACAGUUUGGAGAUUUAAGUCUUAGGGUGAGCGCUGUUGGUAGACCACUGUAUGUGUCUGCACGACGGCCACCAUAUUUGACUUUUUAUUUUAUAAACCGAUGUAUUUAUACAAAUAUUAAUGUACCUGAUGCAGCUCUGUGCAUGAUGCAGAAGAAACAUCACCAGUUUCUUCUUCUCCACCGUCAACCAUGGGUCAACAAUGCAGCGACGCCGCCAGUUCCCUUUCUUAUAUGCACCGCUCUGUCUAGUCUCGGGUAGCCAUGUUUACGCUAUUUUUUGUGGUCAUUUACGGUCUAUAAAGUUUGUUCCUGCAUGCAUGGAGAUAUUAUCGGAGACGUGACAACUACCCGAUAGAUUUUAUCUCGGUUUGUUGAAACAAUUUUGUAUUUACUCAACUAAAUGAAACCAGUUACGCAAUUUUCUGUAUAUAUUUAUGCCUGAGUUUCUGCUUACGUGCAUGCCAUGCAAUAUUCUCGGGAACUACCAAUUAUGGUUUGUGAUUUUAUCGCGUAUUCCGUUUAUGCUAAUAUUCAAACACGUUUACAUUUUGUUUGUUAAUGUUUAUGCUUUGGUUCGACCAACCAGAAAACCGCACAGAGAAACUUGGGCGCUGCCCGGAUCGAACAAAUUGGCUGGGGCUUCCCGAUACUAAUGGAAGCCCUAGGCUUCCAUUAGUUCGUCCAUAUAUAUAUAUAUAUAUAUAUAUAUAUAUAUAUAUAUAUAUAUAUAUAUAUAUAUAUAUAUAUAUAUAUAUAUAUAUAUAUAGUUUAUCUAUUUGGAGCCCUGGGCUUCCAAAAAAACAAGGAAGCCCUGAUCCAAAAAGUCUAUUCCGGUUCAGUGCAACCACAACCGGCCAACCCAACCACAAUCCCCCACGCUUGCGCGUACAUUUCAUUUUUUCCAUCAAUUCAGCCGAAACCGCCACCUUAAAUUAGGAUAUAUUAUUUUCCCCCAAAACAAACCCUAACCGGUCGGCCCAAUUCUCACGCGCUCGCCACAGAUCUAGCCCUGCCUACAGCGCUCUCGCUGCUGCACGUCCCGUUCACGUCGUCGUCCGCCCCUGGCCCUUGCCUCACCGACUCGUGGCCGUCGGCAGCUCCACGUGGGACACGGCCACGCCUGACGCCUCCACCUCCACGACUCAGCUGACGGCUCCUCUCCAUGGGACGGUGCAUGACGACGCCAUGGCGGUUCACCGGCUCCAACCUUCCCCCUCCGGCCUACAGUCCUCCACCGUCCGGUCGCCAGUGGUCCUCCAUGGGCCAUGGCUGACGGGUGCACGCACCGGUAUUCAUCCCUUGCUGCUCUAUUCCCAAUGCUCUAGCUCGUGUACUAGUUGUGCAGCCUGUCGCCUAGCCCUGCUCCGGCGUGAAGUCCUGAUGCUUCUAGUUGUUUUUGUCUUAAAUAAAGAUGCUAGUAUGCAUGUGGCUAUGUGAGGUCUAUUGCAUCCGAUUUAGUGCUGCACAUUUAAGUAAUCUUGAUGAUUGAUUCAAGCAAUUUUUUACUUGGCCUUUAUAUUCUAGAUUAUUGUAACCGGUUGAAACUAAGAGAUACAUGAUGAUUUUCUAAAUCAUAAAUAUAUUUAUAUUGCAUAAUCUUCUACCUAAGGCCUUAGUGCCUAUCCUUAACAAAUAUUUUUUUAUACUUGAUUCUACUGUGUAGGUAUGACAGGUCGUUCAACGAGCACCUCAUUAUCCAGAGUCUCACAAUUUAAAUUGUUUGAUUUCUAAAGUCCAAUUAUAUUUCUAGUCAGCAAUCACAUAUUAACUACACAAGCAAAGUGCAGAGAUAUAUUAUGUUCCUUUUUGAAACAAGUUAUUUCUUACAAUACCAUUUUCAUUGUGUUCUUUUCAUUGUAUUUUUCCUUCAUCUAUCAUGUCACGUUGUGGUUGUGGACCUGGCUAGCUUCAAUCAUGCUUUUCCUUUUUCAGUUUCGCCUUUUCCAGUGGUAAUACUUGACAGAGAAAUCCUGAACCAAGCGCAAACCUUCUGCAAGACCUGGUAACUUAUUUUAGGGGCUAGAAAUAGGCGACGACAGUUCAGGCCUUGUUUUUUACACCAAUCCAACCCUGGAUUAGCAAUGAUUUUUAUGCAGCUCUUGUUUGUUACGACUACUCAUGGCACCAUUUAUGCAUACAUCUGAACUAUUUAUGCUGUUGAUAUGUUUCUAGUGUGGCAAUGAUUUUUUUACAUAUAGAUGCUUACCAAAAGUUCAAAAUCUUUCCGGUCGGUAGCAGUAGAAGCAGCACACCCAAUUUGUCAUACACUCUGUAAUUUUUAUUUCCUAAAUAUGUCUUUUUAUGCUAAUUUGAAUACGCUAUUACGCCCAAUUACUAGAUCGCGCGUAUGCUCCAUUUUGUAAACACGUAGACCACCAAAUUGUACAUUUUUUAUGUUCUUUUUAUGCUUUUAUUCUGAGUUGAAUUGGUCCUCACAUGAUCAUGCAUCAAUACCCAAUGGUUCAGACUCAUCUAAUGCUUCUGCUUCCUUACAUGAACAUGCAUUAGCACAUCAGUCAUCUAGCGCUACUUACUAUAACAAGCACACAUUAUCCACCGAUAUGAUUCUUAUUCCUGCUAAUUUUAAUGUGUUAUUAUGCUCAAUUAUCAGAUCUCGUGUACGCUCCGCAUUGUAAACACGUAGACCAAUUCUCCUACAUUGUUUUUGUUCUUCCUUUUAUGCUUUUACGAUGAUUUGAAUUGGUCCUUUUCAGAACAAUGCACCCCCAGUACGUAGUCCACUCUAGAGCAGUAUACGACAGAUACGCCCAGUACCUCCAGUAAGUAUAUGCUCUUUAUUUUUGUGAUCUACUGCCCAAGUAUCCAGAAGGCAAACUAGAUUUUGAUGUCUGCAUAUUAAAAUUGCCGAUAUCAAAUAAAUCGUCCAUGAGUUGUCCUAGAGUUUCUAGUGUGAAGGAUAUGCAUUGAAUCAGUUUUAUAUGUUUUCGGAAUGAUGGACAAGGUACAACAUGAUAGGAGAAUUUUUUUACACCCUAGUUAUCUUGUUUUAAUUCACCCUUUUUGCGCUCCAAUUAUUUUGGUGAAUCUUAGCAUAGAACUUGACCUUAUAUUAUUUUGUAUGUUUGGUUUGCAUGGGAUAUAUUUAUGAACAUUGAUAUCGUUUUUAUGCUUACUGACAGAAUGCAUAUGGCCUGAAAAUGGAGAAUUGAGGUAUAAAAUAUCGGCUCUUCACUGUCAUAUGCAUUCAUUAGCUUUUUGGUGAUUGGCUCAAUUUAAUGGUUGGUGCACUCAUGCAAUUUUGAACUAAAACAACAACUUGUUUGCACUAUCCAUGCAUAUUGAUAUUGCUAUUGUAGCAACUGCUAUAAAUAACUGUGGCACCAUUUAUGCAUACACUCCACUAUAUAUGUGUUUUGAUUUGUUAUGAUCAGAAAUUCCAUUAUUAACGACUGAAUUUUGGUGUGCUGAUGCUAUAACCUGUGACAUCCAGCUAUUUUCUUGAUUUGUUACAUCUUUUUGUCAAUCUUAAUCUUAUUUUAUUUGAUUUAUUGCAUCAUCCAUUUGAAUAUAGACAUAAAAACCAAGAGCUAAAAUGAAUACUAUUUCCAGUUCUAGGCGGCAUUAUAAAUUCUAUUUUUUUCUUAUAAUGAUGUGAAUCUUGAUGGUUUAAUACUAUUGUUUUAGGACAAUUAUUAUGGUUUCAUACUAUUUCCAGUUCUUUAGUCAUGGAUUUUUUUUCAGAAGUUGAUGAACUCUACCUUCGCAGGAUCUAGUUCCUUGAAUCUUACUGUCUUUUGAGUUUGAGCAUAUACUGAUGUGGAGAGGAAGUGAUUGGAAAUCAUCUCUUCCUCCAUUAGAAAAUAGUUAUGAAGUGACAAAGGUGCAAGAAAGUUUUAGUGGCAAAGAAUCUAAUGAAAAGGUUACACAUUCAGGAAAUGUUCUGAUCCAGAUUUAGUUGGUCAGUGUUGCAACAUCUCACAAGAACUGGAACUUGGAUGAAGGUCAAGAAAAAUUUAAAGAUUCCACUGACAGUGAUAUGGUACUGAAUUCUGCAAAGGAUGUUCCUGCAUUGUUCCAUUCUACAGGUAUAUCUAGAACUGAACCCUCAGCAGACAUUGCAUUGGAAUAUUCCCCAUUAAAUCCAGUAUGUGAUAUUAUGGAUCCAUCCCUGAACUGCCGAAGUAUCCCAACAAACAAAUGUGAAAGUAGAGCUCUGGUAGAGAAGUCAGAACAUUGUCCGAAUGAUUAUAAUUUGGAAAUGAAGGGGAAAAGAAACGAUGGUACAAAAUGUACAGUUGUUCUAAAUAGCGGUUCUAAAGUAGAGGGAUUGUUAUGUCUUUUGGAGCAAGCCAUUCACAGUGGCAGGGCACUUGUUCUGAGUGAAGAUGAACUUGCUGAUUCAGAUCUGGUCUAUGAAAAGUCUGUUGCUUUUAGAAAGUCAAUUCUGCGAAGACUGGUUUUUGAGAAUACUCGAAGGAAGUCCAGUGCCAGGAGAAAUGUGCCAGACAAUCAUGCAAGAACUAAAACACAUAUUAUAGCAAAUAAAAUGUUGAGCAGUCCUGUUGAAAAUAAAUUUAUCGUUAAUGGAGGAUCUGCAAUGCAGACAAUUGACCAUGGACAAGAGUGUCUUUCUGGUGUUGUUCAUCAAGGUACCUUAAGAGUAGAUGAACUAGCAAAGUUACUAGCUUGAGAGGUGAUUGCUCUUUUAUCAACCACAUAGACCAGUAUCAACAUCCUUUGAAACAUAUGCAAGAUUUGCAUGAACUCUGAAUUUGGUUAAAACAAGUCUCAGGUCUGUUGCGUCGUGGCGAGUCCUUUUUAACCUUGAAAUAUUGAACUAUAAUCAUGUGCGAUGUACAAACAACCUUCCGAAUACAUAUUCUCUGAUUUGUCUGUUGUCACCAUAAUUGGCCACUGAUAAAUAACCCUUCUGUUUUAUGUGACAAAAAAUGGUCCACACGAUGCGUUUUACGUUCAAAAACUUCUACGCGACAUGCACGGAAACUAACGCUAAACAUGCGUGAUUUAAACGUCGUAAUUCGUUACGAAACAGAUCAACGAUUUAUGCUAAAAUUCACACCCAUUUACGCUAUUUUGGAUCAUAUUUUACGCAAAAAUCCGCCCGAGCCAGAACCCGCGCAUGAUCCGACGCGCGCGAUUUUUACGCCGUAAUUUUUGGGCCACAUUCGUCGUUAUGAAACUAAGUUACGAUUUACGCUAAAAUUUUUACCCAUUUACGUUGUUUUGGUUAACGUUUUACGCAAAAAUCCAUCCAAGCCAGAACCCGCGCAUGAUCGGACGCGCGCAAUUUUUACGCCGUAAUUUUUGGGCCCUAUUCGUCGUUACAAAACAGAUCUAUGAUUUACGCUAAAAUUCAUAACCAUUUACGCUGUUUUGGUUCACGUUUUACGCAAAAAUUCGCCCAAUCCAGAUUCCGCGCACGAUCGGAAGCGCGCGAUUUUUACACCGUAAUAUUUGGGCCCAUUCGUUGUUAUGAAAUAGAUCUACGAUUUACGCUAAAAUUCGUACUCAUUUACGCUGGUUUGGUUCACGUUUUACGCUAAAAUCUGCCUGAGACAGAACCGUGCACGAUCGGAUGCACGCCUACCUGCGCGUAGGUAUACCUGGCUGGGGCUUCUCGGUACUAAUGGAAGCCCUGGGCUUCCAUUAGCUCGUGUAUAUAUAUAUAUAUAUAUAUAUAUAUAUAUAUAUAUAUAUAUAUAUAUAUAUAUAUAUAUAUAUAUAUAUAUAUAUAUAUAUAUAUAUAUAUAUAUAUAUAUAUAUAUAUAUAUCAAACUUCAUUAGAUUUGUAUAUUUAUCACCUAAAUUGCAAAUGUAUAGUGUCGUUCCUUCUAUGUAUGGACUAAAUGGUGAAUUACAUACUUCUUUAACAUAUUUAAUUGAGGUUUUCUUGGCCCUGUUCAAAUGUUUUUAAACAGCCUACAAUACAGCGUUGACCUUUGUUUACCAUUUAAAUGCUGUUCAAACAGGUUAGAUAUAACGGUGGUUGCGACUGAAUGCCGAGGCAUGCAUUUCUACAAGGUGGUUUAUUAACUAGGGUCCACUCCUUCAUAUGUACCCACAUAUAUACAAGGUGGUUUUUUAACGAUAGGAAUAACUACACCUGGGAGUAGGAAAAAUGCACCAUAUAUAUAUGUCAAACUUCAACUAUAUAUUAGAACCAUUUGAGACUUUCUGAUUGGUGUCCUUCGCAAAUAUAACCUCAUGGUAUGGCUUAUAUGACAGAACAUCCAUUAGAUGUGUGUGAAAGAGAGGACGCUACACCUGCUGAGUGAGGAUGCUGAUUGAAUUGCUGCUGCAUAUAUAUUGGUUUCGAUGAAUUGCCAUAAGCGGAUAUGUGGCCCAUGCACUCCUGUUGCACCAUUCAUGUGUCCAUCUGAUAAACCAUAUGCAGAUGAGUUGUCCAGCAUGUCUGAAUGUAUUCCAGAAUUAUUGUGGCCUAUGCUGAAUCUGAUUGCAAUUUUGGUUGCUAGAAAAUUGGAUCUGGAUCCGGAGCUGAAUCCUGGAGUUGGGAUCCUGUUGAUUACUGAAUCUGGAGCUGCACAUUCUGUUGAUUACUGAAUCCUGGAGUUGGGAUCAUGUCUCAUGUGAGCUGAACCAACUGAACCCGGCCCAUCGUAGAUUGUACGUUAUUUGUGGUAGAUUUUGUGGAAUGCCAGAAUUUAAAUGCUGGUAGCCAUUGGACCUGUGUGGAGGAAUUAAGAGUGGGUUACUAUAAAAACAAAAUGUUAUUCUUUUACAAUUUUUUGUUAAUACACAUGGCUCUGUUCCUGAUGCAGCAUUUCCUAUAUAUAGACUUGAUGAAACAUUUCCUGAUGAAGCUUUCUUUUUCUUAACAGGUCAGUGGAGGUGACGUUUAGUACGAAAUGAGGACACAUGUCACUUAUCUGCUGCGAAUACUGCCGUCGGACAAAAAAACUUAUAACUUUUUGUGCAAUCAGCAAUUACUAAUAUGCUGCUCGCGAUGAAUGAUGUGUGUAUGCUACUUUUGGACCUGUGGUAUCUAAGGCUGCCAACCAUAAUGUUUUGGCAAACACAAAUCCGUGUGGCUAAACAAAAAUCUUGAUGCAUGUUGUAUGAUCCAGCUAACAUCAAUGCCGCUUUAUUGUAAAUGUUUAUGUUUUUACUAUAUGACUUACUAUAUGUGUUGAUUAUAUUGCAAAUAUUUUUAUCUCCUCCCAUUCUCGGCGCCUCCUGUUCUAGUUUGUACAUAAUGAAGGGUAGACUCACAGCAUAGCUGGUGCAAGGGAAAAAAUGUUGCAUAAAAUAUGUCAUUUCCAUUUUUUGAGGAAACAUGUCAACAUUGACAUUUGCUGAAGUUAGGUAUACAUCUAUUUGAAUCAACAGUUACAGUUCAACAUAUACUCCUUCCGCUCUAGCUUGUUGCGUGUCCUACUUUUUUUCUAAAUCACUUUUCUCUAAAUUGACAUACUCCCUAGAAAAUCUAUCCAAAUUUUGAAGAUCAAAUUUGUUCCAUUGAAUUAUUCAUGACAUCUAUCUUGGUAUUGCUUUUUAAUAAUCAGAAUAUAUUUUGAUCUCAACAAAAGUUAUACACGAUUCUUUUUAGACAAUACUAAAGCAAAUUGUAAUCAAGAACACUUGAGGUUCGCACCAAUUGCCACAUUUAGAUAUAAGCAUUCUAAUUUUGGUCAUCCUAUGUGUGUGCAUUCAUCUAAGCAUUCUAGGAUUUCAAUUAGUCUAUAUCUUGUAGUAUUUGUUCCUUCAUUGUCAAUUCACUUCUCAUCUAACUACUAUGAUUGUUUAACCAGUAGAACAUAACUACGACAAUAUCCAUUUAUAAAGACUUUGAUAGCAAACUUUACAUAUUCAUAUCAUGUUAAGGUUGUCACAUGUGUAAAGGUGAAGAGAUCAUGCAUGUCAUUCCACGUAGAUGAAAAAAUUCCUAUAUAAAAAUGACACCUUUUCUUGUAGGUAGUGGAAAGUACCUUUCCAGCAAAGAUCAUAUAUAUAAUCCGAUAAAGCUGAAAACUAAAUGUCGAAAUCGAGUAGAUGCCAUAUCAUCUAUACCUUAUCUCUUGUUUGGAAAAAAGACAAAACCAAAAAAUAUUUAUGAGGUCUCACUUGUAUAAAUAGCUCCCAAAUCAGUAGUUAAUCCAUCACCUAUAAUAUUUUGAGCAUUCAGAAACACACCAAGCGAAGCACAUUAGCAACAACCUAACAACAAUGGCUACCAAGAUAUUAUCCCUCCUUGCGCUUCUUGCGCUUUUUGCGAGCGCAACAAAUGCGUUCAUUAUUCCACAAUGCUCACUUGCUCCAAGUUCCAUUAUUACACAGUUCCUCCCACCAGUUACUUCAAUGGGCUUCGAACACCCAGCUGUGCAAGCCUAUAGGCUACAACAAGCAAUUGCGGCGAGCGUCUUACAACAACCAAUUUCCCAGUUGCAACAACAAUCCUUGGCACAUCUAACAAUACAAACCAUCGCAACGCAACAGCAACAACAAUUCCUACCAGCACUGAGCCACCUAGCCAUGGUGAACCCUGCCGCCUACUUGCAACAGCAGUUGCUUGCAUCAAACCCACUUGCUCUGGCAAACGUAGUUGCAAACCAGCCACAACAACAGCUGCAACAGUUUCUGCCAGCGCUCAGUCAACUAGCCAUGGUGAACCCUGCCGCCUACCUACAACAGCAACAACUGCUUUCAUCUAGCCCGCUCGCUGUGGCCAAUGCACCUACAUACCUGCAACAACAAUUGUUGCAACAGAUUGUACCAGCUCUGACUCAGCUAGUUGUGGCAAACCCUGCUGCCUACUUGCAACAGCUGCUUCCAUUCAACCAACUGACUAUGUCGAACUCUGCUGCGUACCUACAACAGCGACAACAGUUACUUAAUCCACUAGCAGUGGCUAACCCAUUGGUCGCUGCCUUCCUACAGCAGCAACAAUUGCUGCCAUACAACCAGUUCUCUUUGAUAAACCCUGUCUUGUCGAGGCAGCAACCCAUCGUUGGAGGUGCCAUCUUUUAGAUUACAUAUGAGAUGUACUCGAUAAUGGUGCCCUCAUUCCGGCAUGUGUUUCCUAGAAAUAAUCAAUAUAUUGAUUGAGAUUUAUCUCAAUAUAUUUCUGAACUAUGUUCAUCAUAUAAAUAAUUGAAAACAUCAAAUCGUAAUUAUAAACUCAUGCUUGGUCAAUACAUAGACAAUGCGAUAUUACUUCAACAUCCCAAUGAUGUCCUAGCCCAACCUCUUGAAUGUUACUGUUUUAAUGUGUGAGGGUAUAUUUAUAAGAUAGACGUGACUACUCGCGCUUUUUUUAGUACAUACAUAUAUGGUAUGUUGAUUUGAUUAGUGAUGGACACAUGCUUUGACCAUGAAUAUUCAAAUGAGGUGUAUUUGCACGAAGCAAAACAUAAUAUAAGUUUAGGAGUAGACUUAUAACUGUGUCCAAACAUGCUCACACAAAUUCAUACCACAUUAUAAUUUUUUGGUAAAUAUUCCACACGUAUUUUUUACAAGAACCCAAAUUUUGCAGAUAAAUGCAGCAUUGUAGACAUGUAUAAUUCUUUGAAGCCCCUGAACUUAACAGCACCAAGGUCAUUAAAUCAACUGGACCCUAUGAGUAACAAUUUCAAUAUUGCAAACACCAAAUUAUAGAACUUAUUGGCUGAAAAAUUAUGAGCAAUGUGAAGUUUAAAUUAUUAUACCAUAAAUAUAUCAAAGAAUUUUUUUUGAGGAACGUAAAAAUUGCAUGGAAUGGGCUGCCCAACGUGCUAGCUCACUUCUAUGCUAGGUAUCAUUACCAAAGAUGGGAAUGUUGCUAAUGAACGCCAAACCCACUCAUAUAAUAUUUAUAUUUGGGUUGUUUAGUUGUAAAAGUGAAGACCCAAGAUAAAAGUACCAAUUGUUCAAUGACAUUCGAUUAUUUUGUUCGGGGAGCACUUGGUGCGUCAUUUGGACUCAUAUCUUAGUCCAAUAGAUUGCAUUUUCCUUCAAUGUGUAGAAUCCGACAAAGUGCAUGUUCUAAAAUUGUAAAUCUAACUAAAUUAGAAAGCUUGUUACUAAUUUGAUGGUUUAUUAGGUGUACCUCAUAAAACUAGAACCAACAUAGCCUGCACUCACGUGUCAUAGAAAAUAGGAGUAUCCAAGCACAAUUUAUGUGAGCAUCCAUCACACAAAUUAUAUAUAGACUGAUAUAAUUAAUUCCUUCAAAAAUAAAAAAGGAAAAAAUAAAGUGUUUUUUUGAUAUUGCAGGAUAUCUCCUUUAACUAAUGAGGAGUACUAAAAAGAUGUUGCACUUUUGGGUGGCGAGAAUUCCUCAAUCAUAACUUUGACAUAAUUUUAAUCCGGAUCACAUAUAUCAUCAUAUCUUAAUUAUUAAAUUAAUAUGUGUCGGAGAGGGAAUUCUCCGGCCGGGUGGCGGAAUGCACCCGCCCUAAAUCCUAAGAUGAGGAAGGGGCUUAAGUGUUUUGCCUGUCUUGCUAAGCGAUCACCGAGCACACGAACACGCGAGGAUUUAGAGUGGUUCGGGCCGCCAGAGCGUAAUACCCUACUCCACUGUGUGUUGGAUUGCUGUGGAAGCUUGAGAGCUGAGAGUCUGAGUCCUUUGUCUGUGUUGCGUGCCCUCCCUUUUAUAGCUCAAGGGGGGCAUGUACAAGGACACUGAACCCCGACAUGUGGGCCUAGGGACAUAACAGAUGGAAUACUCGGAGCAACUAAUAUCAGUCACCUUGUGCAAUCAUCCUGUGCCCCGAUAUCCGCCGCUAGAGUAGCAUUGGCGUGCAGCAGAAGGUUCCCCGGCAUCGUACAAGUCAUGAUGGCCAUCGCACGCGCGCUGCGGUAUGGGCGUACUGCCCACUGUCUGAUUGGACAGGCACGUCGCCUGUAGAGUGGUCUGGUCGUCGCCUGUCAUCAGAGUGGACGGGGCACAUUAAAUGCCGAGACGGCACAUCGCCUGUCAGCAGGGCGGACAGGCGGCGCGUCCUCUCCGCAAUAAAUGUAGAGAUCACGUGGCUCAAAGGCCUUACGUCAGGCUCCACCCGCCGGCUUACGUCACGAGCAAUAGGCCGCGUGGCAGCAUUAGGUCCUCGCCUGAGCGGGGAGCGGAAGUACACCAGGCAAGACCCUGACAAGUGUCUACGCCGGACCCCUGUACGUCCUUGACUUAGGCCAGGGUAUUCUUCAUCCCGGGAUCUUGCUGUGGGUGGCUUGGACCUCACUUAGAGGGGUCCAGGUCCCAUCCAAGGGAACAUGGAGGUCCUGGGUCGUACCCGGAGGUCCGAGUCAUGUAUGCUGGGGUCCGACACUUUCCCAUGGGGGUCCGGAUUCACUGACGAUAUCACGGUAUGUGUUACCUUCUCUGGUCACUUGGCGGCCCCGGAGUCGCCCACGUGGUGGGGUCGGGCGUUGUUUACCGUGCGUCUAGAGAUAGACGUGCGGGUACCGCGCCUUCAUACUAUAGUAAGGGGUACUCCUGUUCCAGGGUAUCGACAAUAUGGUUCCAUCAUCGUAUUAUUAAUUCAAUCUAAUAUAACCAUCAGAUCUUAAUUAUUAAAUUAAUCUGGAGUGUACAUUAGAUUAUCAAACCAAAUCAACCCGACAUAACCAUCAAAUGUUCCGCUAUGCACCUUAAGCGCAUGGUCUAGGGAUUAAUCAUCCGGAAUAACCAUCCGAUCUUCUAGUAAGCAUAGUAAGUGUAUGGUUCACGACUUCAUCAUCCAGAAUAACCAUCAGAUUUUCCGGUGUGCACUGAAAGCAAAUGAUCCGCGGUUUUGGUAGGUGAAACGUUGUUAGGUGAAUGCGGAUGUUGGCUGUUGUUGCACGUGCGAACUGUUGUGUGGAAGCUGCUGGGUCCUCCUCUAUUGUGCGUGGCUUGUGGCGGGCUUGGACUACUCUCAUGGCUUCGGCGCUUGGAACUGCUCGUCUGUCCGGUCCUGCGUGCAUCUCUCUCUCCUGGCUGGAGGUGUGGUGGCCUGGCGGCUUCUCUGUGUUUUUCUUUUUAUGAUGACUUCUCGUGUUGGCUAGGGUUGGCGUUAGGGGCUCGGUCAGUUAUGCUCCCUCAGCUUUUAUAGGCAGCGCACCAUAGCAGGCAGAGCAGAGAUAAAGAUUCCAAUUGCAUCCAUCUACAAACAAGGCUCUCGGCGGAAGGGAUAAAAGCAUGCAUCGCAAUUACUGCUGCUCUGCUGCAACCUUGGCUCUCGUCAAUUGGAUGACCAAAAGAUGCCAACGUCUAAGAUCUUUUCUUUGUGCAGCUGCCUGUUUGUCACCAACACAAAAUUGUAGGUGCCUGUUUGUCACCAAUUAUCCUCUACCACAAAGAACUACAAUAGUGAUGGAGGAUCCGAUCCAGCACAGAUCCACUAUAAUGCAUAGUGGGUGAUGCAUGCCUAAUGGUGGUUGUUUAGUGUUAGUUUGGGCAUGUUGGAACUAAGCAAUUGUCGAUGCCAUACACUAGAAGUGAAGAAUGUUGUUAGCGUUAGGAGUAGAGGUGUCAAUGGGGACCGAUACCCGUUAAGCCAUGGAGAAUUUCUCUAUUAGAUUUAGGGUAUGGGAAGAUUUUAAUUUCCAUUUGCUGAAGUUAGGUAUACAUCUAUUUGAAUCAACAGUUACAGUUCAACAGAAACUCCUUCCGCUAUAGUUUGUUGCAUGUCCUACCUUUUUCCUAAACUAUUUUCCCUAAAUUGACAUACUCUCUAGAAAAUCUAUCCAAAUUUUGAAGAUCAAAUCUGUUCCAUUGAACUAUUCAUGACAUAUAUCUUGGUAUUGCUUUUUGUCAUCAGAAUAUAUUUUGAACUCAGUAAAAGUUAUACACGAUUUUUUUAGACAAUACUAAAGCAAGUUGUAAUCAAGAACACUUGAGGUGUGCGCCAAUUGCCACAUUUAGAUAUAAUCAUUAUAAUUUUGGUCAUCCUAUAUGUGUGCAUUCAUCUAUGCAUUCUAGGAUUUCAAUUAGUCUCAAUCUUGUAGUAUUUGUUCCUUCAUUGUCAAAUCACUUCUCAUCUAACUACUAUGCUUUUUUAACCAUCAGAACGUAACUCCAACAGUAUCCAUUUAUAAAGGUUUUGAUAGCAAACUUUACAUAUUCAUAUCAUGUUAAGGUUGUCACAUGUGUAAAGGUGAAGAGAUCAUGCAUGUCAUUCCACGUAGAUGAAAAGAAUUCCUAUAUAAAAUGACACCUUUUCUUGUAGGUAGUGGAAAGUAUCUUUCCAGCAAAGACCAUAUAAUCCAAUAAAGUUGAUAACUAAAUGUCGAAAUAGAGUAGAUGCCAUAUCAUUUAUACCUUAUCUGUUGUUUGGAAAAAAAGACUAAAUCCAAAAUAUAUAUGACAUCUCACUUGUAUAAAUAGCUCCCAAAUCAGCAGUUAACCAUCACCCAUAAUAUUUUGAACAUUUAGAAACACACACCUAGCGAAGCGCACUAGCAACGACCUAACAACAAUGGCUACCAAGAUAUUAGCCCUUCUUGCGCUUCUUGCCCUUUUUGUGAGCGCAACAAAUGCGUUCAUUAUUUCACAAUGCUCACUUGCUCCUAGUGCCAUUAUUCCACAAUUCCUCCCACCAGUUACUUCAAUGGGCUUCGAACACCCAGCUGUGCAUGCCUACAGGCUACAACAAGCGCUUGCGGCGAGCGUCUUACAACAACCAAUUGCCCAAUUACAGCAACAAUCCUUGGCACAUCUAACAAUACAAACCAUCGCAACGCAACAGCAACAACAGUUCCUACCAGCACUGAGCCACCUAGCCAUGGUGAACCCUGCCGCCUACUUGCAACAGCAACUGCUUGCAUCCAACCCACUUGCUCUGGCAAACGUAGUUGCACACCAGCAACAACAACAGCUGCAACAGUUUCUGCCAGCGCUCAGUCAACUAGCCAUGGUGAACCCUGCCGCCUACCUACAACAGCAACAACUGCUUUCAUCUACCCCGCUCGUUCUGGCCAAUGCACCUACAUACCUGCAACAACAAUUGUUGCAAUAGAAUCUACCAGCUCUGACUCAGCUAGCUAUGGCAAACCCUGCUGCCUACUUGCAACAGCUGCUUCCAUUCAACCAACUGAUUGUGUCGAACUCUGUUGCGUACCUACAACAACGACAAUAGUUACUUAAUCCACUAGCAGUGGCUACCCCAUUGGUCGCUGCCUUCCUACAGCAGCAACAAUUGCUGCCAUACAACCAGUUCUCUUUGAUGAACCCUGUCUUGUCGAGGCAGCAACCCAUCGUUGGAGGUGCCAUCUUUUAGAUUACAUAUGAGAUGUACUUGAUAAUGGCGCCCUCAUACCGGCAUGUGUUUCCUAGAAAUAAUCAAUAUAUUCAUUGAGAUUUAUCUCGA
This 30070-nucleotide long non-coding RNA is filed under the name Zea mays. Its description in RNAcentral is "long non-coding RNA (ZMAY_LNC002145)". Lineage: Eukaryota; Viridiplantae; Streptophyta; Magnoliopsida; Poales; Poaceae. The record is from RNAcentral.